This 332-nucleotide ribosomal RNA is filed under the name uncultured bacterium. RNAcentral's name for it is "bacterial SSU rRNA". It matches the Rfam family "Bacterial small subunit ribosomal RNA", at positions 568 to 898 of the family's 1533-position model. The record is from RNAcentral.
UGCGCAGGCGGCCGGGUGUGUGAGGCGUGAAAGCCUGGAGCUCAACUCCAGAAUUGCACCUCAAACUACACGGCUAGAGCAUUGGAGAGGGUAGCAGAAUUCACGGUGUAGCAGUGAAAUGCGUAGAUAUCGUGAGGAAUACCAGAGGCGAAGGCGGCUACCUGGACAAUUGCUGACGCUCAGGCACGAAAGCGUGGGGAGCAAAAGGGAUUAGAUACCCCUGUAGUCCACGCCCUAAACGGUGCACACUAGGUCUUGGCGGAUUCGACCCCACCAGGGCCCAAGCUAACGCGUUAAGUUUGCCGCCUGAGGACUACGGCCGCAAGGCUAAA